RNAcentral lists this ribosomal RNA (301 nucleotides) under uncultured bacterium. RNAcentral's name for it is "partial 16S ribosomal RNA". It matches the Rfam family "Bacterial small subunit ribosomal RNA", at positions 509 to 807 of the family's 1533-position model. The record is from RNAcentral.
CAGCAGCCGCGGUAAUACAGAGGGUGCGAGCGUUAAUCGGAUUUACUGGGCGUAAAGCGUUCGUAGGCGGCUUCUUAAGUCGGAUGUGAAAUCCCUGAGCUUAACUUAGGAAUUGCAUUCGAUACUGGGAAGCUAGAGUAUGGGAGAGGAUGGUAGAAUUCCAGGUGUAGCGGUGAAAUGCGUAGAGAUCUGGAGGAAUACCGAUGGCGAAGGCAGCCAUCUGGCCUAAUACUGACGCUGAGGUACGAAAGCAUGGGGAGCAAACAGGAUUAGAUACCCGCGUAGUCCCUGUCUCUUAUAC